This 712-nucleotide ribosomal RNA is filed under the name uncultured bacterium. RNAcentral's name for it is "bacterial SSU rRNA". It matches the Rfam family "Bacterial small subunit ribosomal RNA", at positions 67 to 801 of the family's 1533-position model. The record is from RNAcentral.
CGGGAGAAUUGCUAGCUUGCUAUAAUUCUCUAGUGGCGCACGGGUGAGUAACACGUGAGUAACCUGCCCCCAAGAGUGGGAUAGCCCCGGGAAACUGGGAUUAAUACCGCAUAAAAUCGCAAGAUUAAAGCAGCAAUGCGCUUGGGGAUGGGCUCGCGUCCUAUUAGUUAGUUGGUGAGGUAACGGCUCACCAAGGCGAUGACGGGUAGCCGGUCUGAGAGGAUGUCCGGCCACACUGGAACUGAGACACGGUCCAGACACCUACGGGUGGCAGCAGUCGAGAAUCAUUCACAAUGGGGGAAACCCUGAUGGUGCGACGCCGCGUGGGGGAAUGAAGGUCUUCGGAUUGUAAACCCCAGUCAUGUGGGAGCAAAUUAAAAAGAUAGUACCACAAGAGGAAGAGACGGCUAACUCUGUGCCAGCAGCCGCGGUAAUACAGAGGUCUCAAGCGUUGUUCGGAAUCACUGGGCGUAAAGCGUGCGUAGGCGGUUUCGUAAGUCGUGUGUGAAAGGCGGGGGCUCAACCCCCGGACUGCACAUGAUACUGCGAGACUAGAGUAAUGGAGGGGGAACCGGAAUUCUCGGUGUAGCAGUGAAAUGCGUAGAUAUCGAGAGGAACACUCGUGGCGAAGGCGGGUUCCUGGACAUUAACUGACGCUGAGGCACGAAGGCCAGGGGAGCGAAAGGGAUUAGAUACCCCUGUAGUCCUGGCA